Molecule: long non-coding RNA, 2190 nt
Organism: Clarias gariepinus (North African catfish)
Lineage: Eukaryota; Metazoa; Chordata; Actinopteri; Siluriformes; Clariidae
Exons: 2
Source: RefSeq, a predicted model, not a curated record
AUUAGACUUGCAAUGGAGCUGCUGCUCCUCCUUUCUUCCCGCUUCUCUCUCUCUCUCUCUCUCUCUCACACACACACACAGUUUAAGGACGACGCGAAGGAAUUUCUGUCAUUGUCGCUUGAAAGGAGGGAUUUCCUUAAGAAACACACCUAUGAGGUCAUUCCGGACCUCUCCGGUCAGUUUGCUUGCUCCGUGGGGAACACACUGUCCUCUCAGUCAGACUGACCACCUCCCUUCUUCUCCAGAGUGGAGCACAGAGAACAAUAGAGAUACACGUCAGCUUUUUUUUUUAAGUGUCAGAGCAAAGUAUGGAAGCUGCAUUCCAAACAUUUAUAGACAUUUUGGAAAUGAGUAAUGUGUUCCCCCCCCCCCCCCCUCAAACAUAAAAACUUCUGCUAACAUUGCAGUUUGUUACUCUCCCAUGAUUUGUUGGGUGUCCUGUUCACCUGUCAAAGGGUAGCACAAGUUAACCCAGUGCACAUUCUCAUAAUAUUCAUUUGGUGGUCAAACCACCACAAGAAAUUUGGGGUCUGUCCUUCGUCCUGUCAGUGCCCUGCCCCCAAGGCCACCCACUGACUCACAGUCUACAGACACCCCCCUCCCUUGUGUUACCUAAAUUAACACACAAAAUUGCUUGUCUCAACUGCCUCCAACAGACAAAAACCAAAAUCUCUCAUCCAGUUCUACAACUCAGUACAUAAAAAAAAAAGAUCACUAUGAGUUUACACAGUUUGUCUCCUAGAGACUUGGUGCUGACGUGAAAGCUCUUGACAUCAGGAAGUCACUAAGGUCUUCUCUGAGAAGCUUUUCUGUUUAUAACAAUGCAUCCGGUAAACUCUUGCUGACGUGGUUUUCCCCAAAUAAAACAUUAGACUCAGUCUGGAAAUAUUUUCCUCAGCAAAAAUGACACAGUCAGACUUUUCUUUCUUUUUUCUUUUUUUUUUUUUAACAGUAAGCAUUCUUUAAUUAGUAUGCAGACAGUUUGCCACUAUUAGGUUGGUGUAGUUAAUAGUUUGUAUGUCUAGUCACACUGAUUAAGCAGAUGUUUCUUUUGUUUUUAUUGAUCACCUAUUCAUUGUCAUGUUCAAAGGUAGUCUGCCCUUUAAUGCAAAGGCUGAAUGACUACUUCUUCUUCUGCAUUGAGUUAAUUAUACUUGACUGAGGACACAGCAUGUGAUCGAAAGCUGUAACAUCAUUAACCCAAACAAUCAUUCAUUUGCUUUGCAUUGAAUGGAGAGAGCAGGCCCUCAUAAUGUUAAUCCAGGUUUUUCAGGUUUUCUUACUUUGUCAUGCUAAUGUUCAGCAGACCUUUUACAUAACCUUAGAAUGUUUAUUUUCUUACUAAUGUUUGUUUAUUUAUUUGAAAUGAAAAACAAAUGUUAAAACAUUCUAGAGAUAUAUGUGUAAAAGUACAGAAAAGUUAACUAUUAUACAGACCACUGAAAUUAUUAAAAUUGGUCAAUUAUUAAUCUGACUAACUGUCAAGGCUGAUUUAAAAGAAACAUAGCACAGACCCUGUUUCUUUCUUUGGGCUUUUUUUUUCUUUAUCCAGCAUGUGCCAAGAUUACAGUACAUGCAUUUCACCAGCCUUGCCAUAAAACCAUCUUUCUUCUUUCUGGGAAAAUCUAAUAUGACCUAUAUUUCCUCACUAUGUCCUGCCACUUGUUUUGUUGCAAUCAUCAUGAUGUAGAUUUUUCCAGAAAUGUCGGUGUGUUAUUUUAGGUGUCCAGCGUGAGAUUCAUGUGCCUUUGGAUAAAAAGAGCAAUUACCCUCAUAUUCCUGGCUGUUGUUCCUCAGCUUAGUGGAAAGCCAGGACCCUAAGGUCAUGAGAUUUCCUCCCCAUAUGAGGUGGCUGGCCAUGACCCUGGCUGUCUGUUCCAAGCCCUCAGGUCCUUAAUGUAAACGAGAGCAUUCACUCGACGACUCGGCUCUCAGGUGACAUUUUCACUCAUUCCUGUAAGUCAGCAUACACACAGUGUGACCUUACAGAUGAACAGAGGCUGUGAAAGGAAACUGACUAGCUAAAGAUCAGACGUGACCGUAUUGCUGCAUUGUGUGUAAAUAAGCUGAGCUAUAUAAGUAAGGGCUUAUUUGCUUUAUGACACUGUAUGGUAAGAAGUUGGAGUAGUUUUUUCCUUAGGCAUUUGUAUUUGACAUCUGAAAAUGAUUUUAUUAAACAUAUCGAGUGAC